ACUACGAGUUUGAUCCUGGCUCAGAUUGAACGCUGGCGGCAUGCUUUACACAUGCAAGUCGAACGGUAACAGGCCUUCGGGUGCUGACGAGUGGCGAACGGGUGAGUAAUGCAUCGGAACGUGCCCAAUCGUGGGGGAUAACGUAGCGAAAGUUACGCUAAUACCGCAUAAGCCCUGAGGGGGAAAGUGGGGGACCGCAAGGCCUCACGCGAAUGGAGCGGCCGAUGUCAGAUUAGCUAGUUGGUGGGGUAAAGGCUCACCAAGGCGACGAUCUGUAGCGGGUCUGAGAGGAUGAUCCGCCACACUGGGACUGAGACACGGCCCAGACUCCUACGGGAGGCAGCAGUGGGGAAUUUUGGACAAUGGGCGCAAGCCUGAUCCAGCCAUGCCGCGUGCGGGACGAAGGCCUUCGGGUUGUAAACCGCUUUCAGCCGGAAAGAAAUCGCUGUUUUUAAUACAGACAGUGGAUGACGGUACCGGAAGAAGAAGCACCGGCUAACUACGUG
Molecule: ribosomal RNA, 506 nt
Filed under: uncultured bacterium
Lineage: Bacteria
Description: bacterial SSU rRNA
Rfam family: Bacterial small subunit ribosomal RNA
Source: RNAcentral